GGCGGUGGGGUCCCACACCUAGACAAUUAUUCAAAACAUCUAUUAUAUCAACAAAAAUACAGCCGAAUUUCAUAGAUUUGCAAUAUACUCACACGCAUAUUGAAUCAUAACCUAAAAUUUUUCAAUAGCAAACAUGCCGCAUUUUUAAGCGAAAAUCGCGUUUUUUGACUUUCCAAUGUGAUAACAUACCAUAACAAAAAGAAAGAUCCGACAGCGUUACCUGGGGAAAUUCAUAUGCAAAUAGAAUUAGCAGGGGUCCGUGGACCAAAAAAAGAGGGAGUAAGUUGCUCCAUAUUUGGUCCGGUCCGACAUUAAGUGCAUGAGGACUUAAGACCUCACAACCCUUAGAAAAAAAUAAAAGAAAAAUAUGUUCAGCACUGGCAGCGUCUGAUGAUUUGCCUCUGCCCUGAUGAUCGACUCAUGAGUUAUCGCCGCCACCACAAAGCUACUUUUUUUUGGAGAUUUGCUGCCAAUGGGUUAAUUUUUUAUAUUUUUCGCUGAAAUUUUCAACAAAUAUUUUAAACAUGUCAUUCUAU
This is a long non-coding RNA of Hermetia illucens (black soldier fly), 536 nucleotides long. RefSeq lists it as uncharacterized. The transcript has 3 exons. NCBI's taxonomy places the organism in Eukaryota, Metazoa, Arthropoda, Insecta, Diptera, Stratiomyidae. The record is from RefSeq and is a predicted model, not a curated record.